AGCGAACGCUGGCGGCAGGCCUAACACAUGCAAGUCGAGCGCUCGUAGCAAUACGAGAGCGGCAGACGGGAGAGUAACACGUGGGAACGUACCCUUCAGUUCGGAACAACCAAGGGAAACUUUGGCUAAUACCGGAUACGUCCGUAAGGAGAAAGAUUUAUCGCUGAAGGAUCGGCCCGCGUCUGAUUAGCUAGUUGGUGAGGUAACGGCUCACCAAGGCGACGAUCAGUAGCUGGUCUGAGAGGAUGAUCAGCCUCACUGGGACUGAGACACGGCC
This 277-nucleotide ribosomal RNA is filed under the name uncultured bacterium. RNAcentral's name for it is "partial 16S ribosomal RNA". It matches the Rfam family "Bacterial small subunit ribosomal RNA", at positions 29 to 331 of the family's 1533-position model. The record is from RNAcentral.